Non-coding RNA from Otolemur garnettii (small-eared galago), 103 nucleotides. The record is from Rfam. NCBI's taxonomy places the organism in Eukaryota, Metazoa, Chordata, Mammalia, Primates, Galagidae.
GGUUGGUUCGAUGGUAGUGGGUUAUCAGAACUUAAUAACAUUAGUGUCACUAUAAUUGGUAUAUAAUUCCCCCCCCCCCACUGCUAAAUUUGACUGGCUAAAA